GAUGAACGCUGGCGGGGGGAGGAACAAAGGCAAGUCGAACGAAGCACUUUAUUUGAUUUCCUUCGGGACUGAUUAUUUUGUGACUGAGUGGCGGACGGGUGAGUAACGCGUGGGUAACCUGCCUUGUACAGGGGGAUAACAGUUGGAAACGGCUGCUACUACCGCAUAAGCGCACGGCAUCGCAUGCUGCCGUGUGACAAACUCCGGUGGUAUAAGAUGGACCCGCGUUGGAUUAGCUAGUUGGUGAGGUAACGGCCCACCAAGGCGACGAUCCAUAGCCGACCUGAGAGGGUGACCGGCCACAUUGGGACUGAGACACGGCCCAAACUCCUACGGGAGGCAGCAGUGGGGAAUAUUGCACAAUGGGCGAAAGCCUGAUGCAGCGACGCCGCGUGAGCGAAGCAGUAUUUCGGUAUGUAAAGCUCUAUCAGCAGGGAAGAUAAUGACGGUACCUGACUAAGAAGCACCGGCUACAUACGUG
RNAcentral lists this ribosomal RNA (481 nucleotides) under uncultured bacterium. Its description in RNAcentral is "partial 16S ribosomal RNA". It matches the Rfam family "Bacterial small subunit ribosomal RNA", at positions 28 to 507 of the family's 1533-position model. The record is from RNAcentral.